UACAGGGGGGGCAAGCGUUGUUCGGAAUUACUGGGCGUAAAGGGUUCGUAGGUGGCCACUUAAGUCAGACGUGAAAUCCCUCAGCUUAACUGGGGAACUGCGUCUGAUACUGGGUGGCUUGAGUGCAGGAGAGGAAUGCGGAAUUCCAGGUGUAGCGGUGAAAUGCGUAGAUAUCUGGAGGAACACCGGUGGCGAAGGCGGCAUCCUGGACCGACACUGACGCUGAGGAGCGAAAGCCAGGGGAGCAAACGGG
This 253-nucleotide ribosomal RNA is filed under the name uncultured bacterium. RNAcentral describes it as "partial 16S ribosomal RNA". It matches the Rfam family "Bacterial small subunit ribosomal RNA", at positions 524 to 776 of the family's 1533-position model. The record is from RNAcentral.